GACGGAGGGUCCUAGCGUUGUUCGGAAUUACUGGGCGUAAAGGGUGCGUAGGCGGCCAUUUAAGUCGGGUGUGAAAGCCCGGGGCUCAACCCCGGAACGGCAUCCGAGACUGGGUGGCUUGAGACCGGGAGAGGAGGGUGGAAUACCCAGUGUAGAGGUGAAAUUCGUAGAUAUUGGGUGGAACACCGGUGGCGAAAGCGGCUCUCUGGCCCGGUUCUGACGCUGAGGCACGAAAGCGUGGGGAGCAAACAGGAUUAGAAACCCCCGUAGUCC
This 273-nucleotide ribosomal RNA is filed under the name uncultured bacterium. RNAcentral's name for it is "partial 16S ribosomal RNA". It matches the Rfam family "Bacterial small subunit ribosomal RNA", at positions 524 to 796 of the family's 1533-position model. The record is from RNAcentral.